This 253-nucleotide ribosomal RNA is filed under the name uncultured bacterium. RNAcentral describes it as "partial 16S ribosomal RNA". It matches the Rfam family "Bacterial small subunit ribosomal RNA", at positions 524 to 776 of the family's 1533-position model. The record is from RNAcentral.
UACGUAGGGUGCAAGCGUUGUCCGGAAUUAUUGGGCGUAAAGAGCUCGUAGGCGGUCUGUCGCGUCGGAUGUGAAAACUCGGGGCUCAACCCCGGGCCUGCAUUCGAUACGGGCAGACUAGAGUACGGCAGGGGAGACUGGAAUUCCUGGUGUAGCGGUGAAAUGCGCAGAUAUCAGGAGGAACACCGGUGGCGAAGGCGGGUCUCUGGGCCGAAACUGACGCUGAGGAGCGAAAGCGUGGGGAGCAAACAGG